AAAACAUGGACAAAACUUUGUCGAGAGUCAAUUGUAUUUAAAAGGUGUCCCCUGAUUUUAGAGAGUUCAUGUUAAGCCACUUUGCUUUUACAAAAGACUUAACAUCCAUACCUAUUUUCUCCAAAAUGUCUGUCUUGUGGUGAACUUGAGAACUGAUUUAUGUGAUUAACAAGGAAACAGUGGUAUUUAUAAACAUGGAGAGUCUUGGAGAAUGAGAUACUGAUUUUAUAAUUAUGGUGUUACACCCGGAUUCUCACAUAUUGUCUAUACCCACAUUCUUUCAGUACGACAAGUUCAUUAAAACUUCUAAUUAUUACCAAUUUCAAAUUGUGUUUACAAUUUCAAGACUUAAUAUCAUGCUGCCAUUGACUAUGCCAGUCAGUGCUUGGGGAGAACAGAAGUGACUCUAUAACCUGAAACAAGAUGAGCUUCAGAGAACUAAACUGGGAACAGCAAAUCAAUAGUUUCAGAUUUCCCAAAACUCUAAGUCAUCUGUUAGCCUGUCAAAAUUGAUCUUUGGACAUCUGUAGUAUUUCCUGGUGGCUUCACAGGGACUUUGCAUCCUAUACCUGCUGUCGUCUGUGCCUGAUCACCUAUGAUUGCAGCCGAGUAGGGAACAUGGCCCCUCUAGUAGUUGAACUAUCCUCAGUUUUACCAGGAACUUUCUGGAUCUCAUCAUAGCCCUCUCAUCUAGCCUGAUAUCUGAAAAACACAAUACUUUUCAUAGAAGCUAAUUCUUCAGGCACUUCAAACUCAGCCUAGAUGCCUUGAAUAACCAACCACUGAGGAGUAUCAGCAACAUCUGUCAACUCAUCAAAAGUGCAAGAAAACAACUCAAAAUCAUUUGCCUUGUUUUUUAAUUGACUACUGAUGUUGCUCCCAAAGUCCUCAACUCUGUAAUCAACUGUUCUCACUGAAAGACUAACAGCCUUUGUACAUAUUUCCUCAGCUGUUGGAAUCAAGCACAAUUUAAUUAACUCAUAUCAGUAAAUGGCUUUCCAGGCUUGAACAACAAAUUAAUCACUCAGAAUCUUCCUUUGAUUGCAGCUUCAUUUUCAUUUUUAUGUUUGUGCAGACAUUUUUCUGUGAUGAGAUAUUGUUUUAAAUGAAAAUGAUCUAUUUUUUUCUGUUACUUUCCUAUGAGUUGGAAUAUUGUGAUGAGGGCUUAGUCUGGUAAUGUCCAUGUAUAUUGUAUUCUUUUAGCACAGCUAUGGUAUCGUUGCAUAAUAAACACAACACUUGUCCUCCUAAUGACAAAAUAACGCAUGUUCCAUUUUGCCCUAAAACAUGACGUUGGGAACCUACUCUUCUCUUUUUUUUUUCUUAUUUUGACAUAAUAGGUGUGAUGGCAAUAAACAUGAAUGUUUUGUUACGGGUGAUAUGUGCAGCACUCAAAAUGCUAUAUUGUGUUUUAAGUGCAUCGCUGUGAAUUAUAGUUCACUAGACAGCACUAAGAAUAAGAGCGCCACACACAUUCUCUGCUUCAAGGACUCAGUUCUGCUGUACUAGUGUGAAAGCAACCAAACACAGUAUGCACAGCAGUGAUUGUGUCUGUGUUCCUAUGAGACUAUAUUUAUGGCUGCUAAAAUUUGAACUUUAUAUAAUGUUCUUAUAUCACAAAAUAUUUUUCUUUUGAUUGUUUUUCAAACCUGUAGAAGUGUUAUGAAGGCCAUUUUUAGGUAAGAGAUGAUAUAAAACUGGGUGAUGGGCCUCAUUUGGCCUAUGAGUUAUAGUUUACCAUCCCCUGCUUCACACAAAUUCUGAAUCAUUUAUAGUCUCCUUUCCCCCAUUACUUAGUACUUACAUGCUUUUGCCUUACUGAAUCCCUCUCACAGGAGUGCGCCUCUCUACAUCUUUUUGAUGCAAUUUUCCAAACAUUGAAAAUUGUCACUUAACAGAUUUUGUAGAUAGUUCAAUAGUUGUGCUUUCUGUGUGAUUUUGCUGCUGUAUAGCUAAGUCCAGAAAGGACAUAUAGAAGAGUGAAAUUUGUUCUGUCACUGUUUCCUAAUUCACAUAAAACAACUGUUGUUCCAUUUUGUUUUAUUUUAAAAUAAUUAGCAAGAAAUUGUCCUGAGAUAGAGUGUGAAUUUUGUAAGAUUGGGCAGAAAGUGUAGGAAAAAAAUCACUUAUGCCAAAAGAUUGUUUUGAGGGUUAAAUAAGAGCAUGAACACUCUAAGCAUAGAGAAAAGUGAUAAUAAAACUGACUUUCUUCUCCAUUUUUGCUCUAAAAAUGUUCACUUUGAGAGCAAAUUGGUGAAGAAAUAUGUGAACUUCAUACACACAAUCAAGCUGCUGUGCACUAAAUGACAUCGAUUUUCUUAUGCCUGUACCAUUCUAAUAUCUGCUAUUCAGAUUCCCUGGUGAUUCCAUUUCUGUGACUAAGAUCUAUUUUUAAAAACCAUUUUGCUUAUUGAAAUGCUUUUAAAAUAUUGGAAAAGGAAAGAGGAAUAUUGUCAAUUAUACCUCAAUUUUUUAAAAAAAGAAAUGAAAGAGGAGAUGUUAAAACUGAUUCCACAAAGGUACAAAGGAUCAUAAUAAUUGUUACUAUGGACAAUUAUUAAAAAAAGAAAGAAAAAGAAGGAGAGAAAGGGAA
Long non-coding RNA from Talpa occidentalis (Iberian mole), 2593 nucleotides. RefSeq lists it as uncharacterized. The transcript is spliced from 5 exons. NCBI's taxonomy places the organism in Eukaryota, Metazoa, Chordata, Mammalia, Eulipotyphla, Talpidae. The record is from RefSeq and is a predicted model, not a curated record.